RNAcentral lists this unclassified non-coding RNA (200 nucleotides) under Chaetomiaceae sp. RNAcentral describes it as "partial internal transcribed spacer 2". Lineage: Eukaryota; Fungi; Ascomycota; Sordariomycetes; Sordariales; Chaetomiaceae. The record is from RNAcentral.
CUAAGUUCAGCGGGUAUUCCUACCUGAUCCGAGGUCAACCUUUGUUAAGGGGGGUGUUUUACGGCAAGAACCCGCCGCACGACCAAAGCGAGAUGUAUUACUGCGCUCGGUGUGACUAGCGAGCCCGCCACUGGUUUCAGGGCCUGCGGGCAGCCGCAGGACCCCAACACAAGCAGGGCUUGAUGGUUGAAAUGACGCUC